CGUAGGUGGCAAGCGUUAUCCGGAUUAUUGGCGUAAGCGCGCGUAGGCGGUUCUUAAGUCUGAUGUGAAGCCCACGGCUCAACCGUGGAGGUCAUUGGAACUGGGAACUUGAGUGCAGAAGAGGAAGUGGAAUUCCAUGUGUAGCGGUGAAUGCGCAGAGAUAUGGAGGAACACCAGUGGCGAAGGCGACUUUCUGGUCUGUAACUGACGCUGAUGUGCGAAAGCGUGGGAUCAAACAGGAUU
Molecule: ribosomal RNA, 243 nt
Filed under: uncultured bacterium
Lineage: Bacteria
Description: partial 16S ribosomal RNA
Rfam family: Bacterial small subunit ribosomal RNA
Source: RNAcentral